CCAGAUGGAGGCGGAAUUAGAAUGACAGAGCAGCAGAUUGUUGUGUGAUGAGCUUUAAGAAGUUUCCAGGCUUUGACUUUCCUCUGAUGACGGAUCCUUCUUUCUGUCCCCACAAAACUGGUACAUGGUUCUACAGGGUUUUCAGAGUGUUGUAAUCCUAUCAGAGAGACCGAGGACACUUGAAAAAGACGACUCUGGAUCUUUCAAAUGAAACGAAACAUCU
Molecule: long non-coding RNA, 223 nt
Filed under: Ursus maritimus (polar bear)
Lineage: Eukaryota; Metazoa; Chordata; Mammalia; Carnivora; Ursidae
Description: lncRNA (ENSUMAG00000023870.1)
Source: RNAcentral